GUGGAGCCAGGGCUAGGGAGUUCUUAGUUAUUGGGGCAGAAUUCAGAAGCUGGAAGUUGGGAAAGCAAGCAGAUGAGAGUUAGCAUUUAUGCUGAAUCCAGAAUCAAAGAAUGAUACUCUUGGACUCCUCUCAUGGUCCAGUGGUUAAGAAUCCACCUGCCUAUGCAGAGGACAUAGGAUUGAUCCCUGCUCCAGGAAGAUUCCACAUGCCACAGGACAACUAAGCCUGACUGAACCAGCACUCUAGAGCAUGUACUCUGCAACAAGACAAGCCACCAAAAUGAGAAGCCUCUGCACCGCAUCUAGAGAGCAGCUCCCUCUUGCCCAACUGGAUAAAGCCCAUGUGGAGCAAUGAACAUAGAGUGAAGCCAAAAGUAAAAUUAAGAAAAAAAAAGAAUGAUACUCUUAAUCUCAAGAUAUUAAGAAAAGUAUUAUGAGUGAUUUGUAAAAUGCCAUGGCAAAGGCAUAUUUCUGUAUUCCAAGAAUAAUGAUGCAGAAAUUACUUCAGGUUUAUAGAAGUGGAUUUGACUUUUAUUUAAAACUAAUCAGAGAAAACAAUGAUUUUUGGAAACAUUGACUCUGCUUGGUUACAUCUUCUUAUCUGAAAAUGGGGUAACACACUACUCAUAUGCCAAAGUUAAGGAGGUAAGUAUAUGAAAAGGUAUUAUGAAUUCUGAGUGCAAAUUAUUAU
Molecule: long non-coding RNA, 691 nt
Filed under: Capra hircus (goat)
Lineage: Eukaryota; Metazoa; Chordata; Mammalia; Artiodactyla; Bovidae
Description: lncRNA (ENSCHIG00000005781.1)
Source: RNAcentral